Molecule: long non-coding RNA, 658 nt
Filed under: Phoenix dactylifera (date palm)
Lineage: Eukaryota; Viridiplantae; Streptophyta; Magnoliopsida; Arecales; Arecaceae
Description: long non-coding RNA (PDAC_LNC015055)
Source: RNAcentral
UAAGUAAUCUGUCUUAAUCUUAUCGUAGAUCUCGUAUUACGUUUUAUAAGGUGAACUAGUGUUUUUCAUACAAUUUGAAUUGUAUACAUGAUUGGUGAGAAAAGUAAGUAAUCUGUCUUAAUCUUAUCGUAGAUCUCGUAUUACGUUUUAUAAGGUGAACUAGUAUUUUUCAUACAAUUUGAAUUGUAUACAUGAUUGGUGAGAAAAGUAAGUAAUCUGUCUUAAUCUUAUCGUAGAUCUCGUAUUACGUUUUAUAAGGUGAACUAGUGUUUUUCAUACAAUUUGAAUUGUAUACAUGAUUGGUGAGAAAAGUAAGUAAUCUAUCUUAAUCUUAUCGUAGAUCUUGUAUUACGUUUUAUAAGAUGAACCAGUGUUUUUCAUACAAUUUGAAUUGUAUACAUGAUUUGUGAAGAAAGUAAGUAAUCUACUUUAAUCUUAUUACGGAUCAUAUGAGUGCUAUGGUUGUUAAGUUUUUAAAGUGUUAUUCAUGCAUGAUAUGUUAUGAUGGGUAAGUAACCUGUCCUAAUCCUGUUAUGGAUCAUGUCAUGUUAUUAAUGUUUUCCUAAGCAUUUAUUUUAAGUAUAUAUGUUUCAUGCAUGAUAUGUUACAAUGCAUAAGUAACUUGCAUGAUCCCAGAAGCUAUGGCUAUGUAUGCAAC